RNAcentral lists this ribosomal RNA (497 nucleotides) under uncultured bacterium. RNAcentral's name for it is "partial 16S ribosomal RNA". It matches the Rfam family "Bacterial small subunit ribosomal RNA", at positions 28 to 507 of the family's 1533-position model. The record is from RNAcentral.
GAUGAACGCUGGCGGCGUGCCUAAUACAUGCAAGUCGAGCGAACAGACGAGGAGCUUGCUGCUCUGACGUUAGCGGCGGACGGGUGAGUAACACGUGGAUAACCUACCUAUAAGACUGGGAUAACUUCGGGAAACCGGAGCUAAUACCGGAUAAUAUAUUGAACCUCAUUGUUCAAUAGUGAAAGACGGUUUUUGUGGCACGUAUAGAUGGAUCCGCGCCGCAUUAGCUAGUUGGUAAGGUAGCGGCUUACCAAGGCAACGAUGCGUAGCCGACCUGAGAGGGGGGUCGGCCACACUAGAACUGAGACACGGUCCAGACUCCUACGGGAGGCAGCAGUAGGGAAUCUUCCGCAAUGGGAGAAACCUUGACGGAGCAACGCCGCGUGAGUGAUGAAGGUCUUCGGAUCGUAAAACUCUGUUAUUAGGGAAGAACAAAUGUGUAAGUAACUAUGCACGUCUUGACGGUACCUAAUCAGAAAGCCACGGCUAACUACGUG